This 645-nucleotide ribosomal RNA is filed under the name uncultured bacterium. Its description in RNAcentral is "bacterial SSU rRNA". It matches the Rfam family "Bacterial small subunit ribosomal RNA", at positions 79 to 719 of the family's 1533-position model. The record is from RNAcentral.
CUUGCUUCUCUUGAGAGCGGCGGACGGGUGAGUAAUGCCUAGGAAUCUGCCUGGUAGUGGGGGAUAACGUCCGGAAACGGACGCUAAUACCGCAUACGUCCUACGGGAGAAAGCAGGGGACCUUCGGGCCUUGCGCUAUCAGAUGAGCCUAGGUCGGAUUAGCUAGUUGGUGGGGUAAUGGCUCACCAAGGCGACGAUCCGUAACUGGUCUGAGAGGAUGAUCAGUCACACUGGAACUGAGACACGGUCCAGACUCCUACGGGAGGCAGCAGUGGGGAAUAUUGGACAAUGGGCGAAAGCCUGAUCCAGCCAUGCCGCGUGUGUGAAGAAGGUCUUCGGAUUGUAAAGCACUUUAAGUUGGGAGGAAGGGUUGUAAAUUAAUACUCUGCUGUUUUGACGUUACCGACAGAAUAAGCACCGGCUAACUCUGUGCCAGCAGCCGCGGUAAUACAGAGGGUGCAAGCGUUAAUCGGAAUUACUGGGCGUAAAGCGCGCGUAGGUGGUUCGUUAAGUUGGAUGUGAAAUCCCCGGGCUCAACCUGGGAACUGCAUUCAAAACUGACUGGACUAGAGUAUGGUAGAGGGUGGUGGAAUUUCCUGUGUAGCGGUGAAAUGCGUAGAUAUAGGAAGGAACACCAGUGGCGAA